This 489-nucleotide ribosomal RNA is filed under the name uncultured bacterium. Its description in RNAcentral is "bacterial SSU rRNA". It matches the Rfam family "Bacterial small subunit ribosomal RNA", at positions 38 to 507 of the family's 1533-position model. The record is from RNAcentral.
GGCGGCGUGCCUAAUACAUGCAAAGUCGAACGAACGGAUAAAGAGCUUGUCUCUUUUGAAGUUAGUGGCGGACGGGUGAGCAACACGUGGGUAACCUGCCUCACAGCUGGGGAUAACAUCGAGAAAUCGAUGCUAAUACCGAAUGUGCUGAACAUCAUAAGAUGUUCAAGUGAAAGACGGUUUCGGCUGUCACUGUGAGAUGGACCCGCGCUGGAUUAGCUAGUUGGUAAGGUAAUGGCUUACCAAGGCGACGAUCCAUAGCCGACCUGAGAGGGUGAUCGGCCACAUUGGGACUGAGACACGGCCCAAACUCCUACGGGAGACAGCAGUAGGGAAUCUUCGGCAAUGGACGAAAGUCUGACCGAGCAACGCCGCGUGAGCGAAGAAGGCCUUCGGGUCGUAAAGCUCUGUUGUUAGAGAAGAACAUGGGUGAGAGUAACUGUUCACCCCUUGACGGUAUCUAACCAGAAAGCCACGGCUAACUACGUG